GGCAAAAAUAUAAUUAAUGGAUUAUGAAAUUUAUAGUACACUCUUUCAACAUACAGUGAGGUUGAGUGAAUAAUGGAAUAAUAUGAAAUACUACAAUGAGGAUGAACACACAUUAAUAAUUAAAACAAAGGAAAAUUACUUCACAUUCAUUUUAUUUAUGCAUUAUUGAAUUAGUGCAUCUUAGAAAGGAAAAAAAGAGAGGUUAUUUUGCCUGUUCUUGACAGUCUACUGAGAACUGAAUUUAAUACAUCAAGCUGAAUAUUGAUAACUUCAUUUGAGGUUGUUUCUUUCGGACAUAAUAUCACACACAGAAAACCGUUUGGAAAGAAUGCAAUGAAAGCAUAUCAAGACUUUCUAGCACAGGUCAUGAGGAUCUCUUAUGAAGUAACGGAUCACGGAUGACUUGAGGCUCAAAGUCUGGUUUCACAUACUUAGCAAGUGUCUCCGCAUACAACUCGUAUCGCGCAGUCAUUCUGAAACACCACUUGUCUUUAAACUGCCUACACAGGUUAAGAUCCAUGUCUGUUAUUAAUAAACCAUCACUGUUACGUGAUAAAGACGGCGUGCAGGAUGCAUCUGGUGCUGAAACAUAGCUUGAUCCAUAAAAAUAUCCCAAAUCUGUAUGUGCUGGCUUGCCAUCACCAGAAGUAAAUGGAUUGGGGAAUAUCUCAGUCCCAACGCGGUUGAUUGCAGCAACAAAGUAACUAUUUGUUAUUGCAGCAUAACGUGCCUGAGAAACAUAACACCUUCAUUUAUUAAUUUUGGUAAACAAAAAUAACACCUUUAAGCCGUGUAUGAUUAUGAAUAUAUGCAGAUGUUCUGCAGGUGUAAAAUCUGGUUGUAUUUGCAUAUAAAAUUAGUCACAGCUGUCCAGAUUAAACAGGAAGAUUAAAGCACGCCAAUUUUCUUAUCUAGUCAUUUAUGAACAAAUUUCCUGGUGAAUAUCAGCCUACAUGUAUUAGCAUCGAAUAAUGUUAUAAACAUUAAGAAAUACCAGAUAAGAGUUUAACAUGUCUUCCAUCAAUAUAAAACAACUGACCUCUAUUGGCCACAUUGCUUCAGUGAGUCCACCAACAGUGGCACAAGGGUUGAAAACAAUUUCGGCGCCAUUCAAGCCAAAAGUUAAACAGUUCAAAGGAUGGUGCCUACCAUAACAUAUAUUAAUGGCAAUCUUUCCAAAUUCUGUUUCAAAUACUGGGUGACCUGUAUUUCCUUCCAUAUAAUAUGUGCUCUCAGUAAAGUCUCCAACUCUUGUUACAUGGUUCUGACAAAUGUUGUGUGUUCAUUAGAUAGCAGAAACACGGGCUAUUCCAUUAGAAGUGAAAGUAGAAAGUUUAGGAAAUUUACCUUCCUGUGUAUGCCAAUUAUAUUGCCGUGAUUCCCAAUUACAACGGCAGUGUUCCAAAUAAUUUCUCCGUGGUUCAUAUCCCUCUCAAGAAUUGGGCUUAUAAUCACCAUGUUAUACUUCAGUGCAAAGCUUCGCAAAAAUUCAGUUGAUUCCCCGUCAACAGGUUCUGCAAAUUCACACCACUUCUUCUCUCGUGUAGAGAAACCAAAUGGCAUCAUCCAAAAUUCCUACAAUCGAAUUUUUUAAAAACAAACAUCAAAGGUUUUCUGAUAGAAAGAAGAAAUCAGUUGAUAAAUGUUCAUAUGCAUGCAACCUACUUGCAAGCAUAAUAUGUUGACCCCUGAUGAACCGGCAGCGUCAACAAUGGGCUUUACUUUCUCAAAGAUAGCCUUUUUUUGGUCGAUAAAGUGCGCAGUUGUUGGGAGGGCAAUAGAGUUCUGAAUCAAACCAACCCUCACAACUCGAGGUUCCCUUAAUACUUCUUUAUCAGCAUGAAAGCAGAAAGCCUGAAAUAAAUAAACUUGAAAUCACGAGACUAACCAAAAGUUAUAGCUUAAAUAACAGAUAAGUUUCAAUGCUGAGGAAUAAAGCUGCUGUGCCGUCUUGUCGAGAAAUCGAGCAUACACUCCGUCAGUUUAAGGAAUCAACACAACUAAAUUAAUCCAGCAUAACUUCAUCUUGUGAUAUCAUUAGGGAAAAAGUGAACAAGUGAACGGUAUUCAUACCUGGAGGUCAAAACCAUGUUCCAUGGAGAGAGCUGUGGCAGAUUCCGGUAGAGCGAUUGUUUCAAGUACUUUUCCACAAUUAAGCCCUGUAAGCAGACGAUUGACUUCCUGCAACACAGUUCUCACAUGGCGAACCAUCAGAAAAUAUGUGAUUGAUGCAAGCAAGCAAGCACCAAUGCAAUUAAACCAAUUUAGAAGGAAUAUAUACCAUCCACCUCCAAUGAAGAUCGAAUAUUCAAAAGCAAAAACAUGAGUAUCAAGGAAGCUAAAUUUUUAAAGACAGAUGGAAUCGGACAAUUGUUUAGAUGCUACUGCAAUGUAACAGUUCAUUAAGUGGUUAAUGAAUAUAGCAAGGUGUCGCAAUUCAUUAGCCAUCCACUGAACACAAUUAUCACGAUUUUGAGCAUCAAUAACCACAAUUUUUAAGUGUAUAUUUGAAAACUUGCAAAUCAUGUGCAUUUGAACAUAAUUUGCAUAACUAAUCUGAAAAUUAUGAUUAAUUACAUUCACAUUCGUUAUUAAUUAAUUGUCUACAGUAUUUGGUUAAUUAGUCGUGACAUCUUGUUAGAUUCCUUAACUAAUUGUGUCAAGUAAAAUAUUUGAAUUGCAUUAACCAUAUAGUAGUUUGAGUGUCAAAAUAACACCACUCUUCUGAAUAUCAUUUUGAAGAGAGUCGCAAAACUUCACCUCAUUGGACAAAAUUUCACAUGAUGGUAUAUAAGAGAAUCCGGGAAUGUCAAAAGAGUAGUUGAAAGUAUAAUAGACAAGCUAAAAGGAUGAAUUCAGCAUGUGAGCAGAAUAAAUAAAUGGGUUUGAGUUUUGAGUAUAAUAACGAUUGGUUUGAGUUUGAGAGUAGAUUACCUGGAAGUGAUGAGGUUUGAGAUUUUCCUUGAGAAGAUGCUGAAGGGAAUUGUAGCCACAAAUAGAACCAUCCCCAUACUUAGAGAGCUUGAGUUGUUCAUUCUCUGCUCUAUUUUCGGACUUGUCCAUCUCCGUUUUGAGACUGUUUGGAAGAGUGACAGUUUGAACACUCUUCUUUGCUGUGAUGAUGAUUUAUUCAUGUUUUGGUGUGCAAUACUAUUGACUAAAGGUAAAGAGAUAUUUGGUAAAAAAUAAUAUUGAAAUUACGAGGAACAUGCAUAACAGAAACAAACUCCAUGGUCUCCAUCAACAUAACAUAUAUCAGACUUGGACUACAAGUCAAUAGCAGCCACUGCAGUAUUGGGCUGCGUGCUGUUACUCGGAAAGUGUUAGAUUAAUCAACUAAUAAAAAUGUGAUAAGAGUUGAAAUGUUUGCGUGAAUGAAUGGAUGGGAUUGAACCAAGUGUUUGGGGUACUAAAAACAAAACCUUGUCACUUGUCCAAAUUGACUUGUCGUCGAUUAAAUGAAAGGAAAUGUUAACGAGUGCUUCCGGGACACUCUUUAAGCAAUUUAAUUAGAAAGUUCUUUAUGAAAAGUUGUGUAUUGAGUGCAUUGGAAAUUAUAAUAGUUGACUUUUUAAAAGAAUAGUUGCUAAAUUUGAUUUCCUUAAAGAGUGCCCCAGAACACUCGUUAACAAGACCCUUAAAUAAAAAUUGUUAUGCAAAAAGCAAACUAAUAGCAAUAUAUUAAAUAAGAAUAGAAUCUUUGUAUUAUCCUCUUUAAGGUGCAAUCGUUAUAAUAUGUCACAUGAUUCUAUUUAUAGGACAUAAAUCUUGCAUCUUACAACUUUACAAGUGUAUUAAGAGUCUUUGUAUAAAAAAUAUAUAUAUUAAGAGUUAUUUAGUCAAAUGAGUGAAAGUCAUUUAAUCAUAGAAGUUUUAUACUAUCAUAUCCAUGGAUAUUGAGCAUAUGAUGAAUUGGUGGUCGUAAGAGGAAAGUUCUUGUUAUACUUGCACAGAGAAUCUAAAAUGAAAAUUGAAAACAUUGUAAGGAAGUAAACAGGCCCUAAUAUUGACCAAAGGGCUAGCAAUUGUAGACAGUGAUGGUAAUUAUGGCAACAAAAAUUAAUGUAUUGUGGAAUUUUGAAUACACUCUUUCAAUAAACAAUGAAGAUGAAUGAGUAAUUAAAUAUGAAAUGUUACAAUCAGGAUGAACACACCUUAAUAACUAAAACAAAGCCAAAACAAUUUCAGAUACAUUUUAUUUAUGUAUAAGUGAAUUAGUUUAUUUUAGGAAAGGAAAAAAAAAAGUGAUUUUUCACUAUUCUUGGCGGUUUACUAAGAGCUGAACAUUGGAAACUUCAUUUGAAGUUGUUUCUUUCGAGCAUAAUGCAUAAUAUACCACACAGAAAACAGUUUGAAAAGAAUGUAAUGAACACUUUCUAGCACAGGUCAUUAGCAUCUCUUAUGAAGUAAGGGGUCACGGAUGACUUGAGGCUCAAAUUCUGGUUUCACAUAUUGAGCAAGUGUCUCCACAUACAACUCGUAUCGUGCAGUCAUUCGGAAGCCCCAUUUGUCUUUAUAUUGCCUGCACAAGUUAAGAUCCAUGUCUGUUACUAAUAAGCCAUCCCUGUUGCGUGAUAAAGAUGGUGUGCAGGAUGCAUCUGGUGCUGAAAUAUAACUUG
RNAcentral lists this long non-coding RNA (4619 nucleotides) under Medicago truncatula (barrel medic). RNAcentral describes it as "long non-coding RNA (MTRU_LNC002224)". The record is from RNAcentral. Lineage: Eukaryota; Viridiplantae; Streptophyta; Magnoliopsida; Fabales; Fabaceae.